GACGAACGCUGGCGGCGUGCCUAAUACAUGCAAGUUGAGCGCUGAAGGUUGGUACUUGUACCGACUGGAUGAGCAGCGAACGGGUGAGUAACGCGUGGGGAAUCUGCCUUUGAGCGGGGGACAACAUUUGGAAACGAAUGCUAAUACCGCAUAAAAACUUUAAACACAAGUUUUAAGUUUGAAAGAUGCAAUUGCAUCACUCAAAGAUGAUCCCGCGUUGUAUUAGCUAGUUGGUGAGGUAAAGGCUCACCAAGGCGAUGAUACAUAGCCGACCUGAGAGGGUGAUCGGCCACAUUGGGACUGAGACACGGCCCAAACUCCUACGGGAGGCAGCAGUAGGGAAUCUUCGGCAAUGGACGAAAGUCUGACCGAGCAACGCCGCGUGAGGGAAGAAGGUUUUCGGAUCGUAAAACUCUGUUGGUAGAGAAGAACGUUGGUGAGAGUGGAAAGCUCAUCAAGUGACGGUAACUACACAGAAAGGGACGGCUAACUACGUG
RNAcentral lists this ribosomal RNA (497 nucleotides) under uncultured bacterium. Its description in RNAcentral is "partial 16S ribosomal RNA". It matches the Rfam family "Bacterial small subunit ribosomal RNA", at positions 28 to 507 of the family's 1533-position model. The record is from RNAcentral.